Molecule: ribosomal RNA, 253 nt
Filed under: uncultured bacterium
Lineage: Bacteria
Description: partial 16S ribosomal RNA
Rfam family: Bacterial small subunit ribosomal RNA
Source: RNAcentral
UACGAAGGGUGCAAGCGUUAAUCGGAAUUACUGGGCGUAAAGCGUGCGUAGGCGGUUUGUUAAGUCUGUUGUGAAAUCCCCGGGCUCAACCUGGGAAUGGCAUUGGAAACUGGUGGACUCGAGUCCCGGAGAGGAGAGUGGAAUUCCUGGUGUAGCGGUGAAAUGCGUAGAUAUCAGGAGGAACACCGGUGGCGAAGGCGGCUCUCUGGACGGUGACUGACGCUGAGACGCGAAAGCGUGGGGAGCAAACAGG